GUGGGGAAUAUUGGACAAUGGGCGAAAGCCUGAUCCAGCCAUGCCGCGUGUGUGAAGAAGGUCUUCGGAUUGUAAAGCACUUUAAGUUGGGAGGAAGGGCAGUAAGUUAAUACCUUGCUGUUUUGACGUUACCGACAGAAUAAGCACCGGCUAACUUCGUGCCAGCAGCCGCGGUAAUACGAAGGGUGCAAGCGUUAAUCGGAAUUACUGGGCGUAAAGCGCGCGUAGGUGGUUUUGUAAGUUGGAGGUGAAAUCCCCGGGCUCAACCUGGGAACUGCCUCCAAAAAUGCAUGACUAGAGUACGGUAGAGGGUAGUGGAAUUUCCUGUGUAGCGGUGAAAUGCGUAGAUAUAGGAAGGAACACCAGUGGCGAAGGCGACUACCUGGACUGAUACUGACACUGAGGUGCGAAAGCGUGGGGAGCAAACAGGAUUAGAAACCCGAGUAGUCC
RNAcentral lists this ribosomal RNA (450 nucleotides) under uncultured bacterium. RNAcentral describes it as "partial 16S ribosomal RNA". It matches the Rfam family "Bacterial small subunit ribosomal RNA", at positions 354 to 796 of the family's 1533-position model. The record is from RNAcentral.